AAAUGAUAUUUAUACAUGAAUCUCCAAAGGGCUUCAUGGCCUUUGGAGAUUCAUGUAUUUAUAAUCGAAUCAGAAAUGAAUGCAACAUUUCUGAUUCGAUUAUAAAGAUCUUUUCCCUGGUGAUCCAAUCAUUAGAUUAUCAAAAGGCUUUUGAUACAGUUAGUCACAACUUUAUUUUGACUUUAUAUUUGUCCUUUUUUUAACUUUGGUAAGUUUUUCAUUAAAGCCUUUAGGACACUUUAUAGAGAUAAAAACAUUUCUAUAAACUUCUAUACGGCACAUCUAGUUGGUUUUAUAUCCAUGAAGGGCUUGGCCAGGCUGUUCGGCCACAACUUACAUUUUCCUGCUUGUUCUAAAAGAUUUAAUCAGACAGAGCUCAUUUCAGGGAAUUAAAAUGUUUGAUCAAGAAAUAAAAAUGUCACAACUUGCUGACGAUACAACAGUAUUUUUAAGAGAUUCUAAUGAAAUUCCUGUAGCUCUGUCUGUUACAGCUAAACUCUCAAGCAUUUCAAGAUUGAAAGUCAAUCUAAAGAAAAGUGAAAUCCUUCCUUUAAAUUCGACGGCUGUUACUGAAAUUUGUGGUAUCCCUGUAAAAAACACUGCAACUUACCUAGGAGUUAAAAUCUCCACAGUAACAGGGGUCAUAAUUUUACCCCUGUUUGUGAAUCUAUUACAAAUAAAUGUAACACUUGGUUAACCGGGGAUUGAACUAUUUAUGAGCAAAGCAGAAGGAAUGUCCAGGGUGUCAUAUCUUUUCUCGUCACUAGAUGUCAGUAAAUCGCUCUGUUCUGAAUACCUCAUGGUGCCUUUUUCAGGCUGGUUGCCUGAAAUACGUUUAUAUUCAUAAAAAACCUGCUGCUCCUUCCCUGUCUAGAAUAUAAGUUUUCUACAUUUUUAUUUUCUUUACUAACUCUGACUAUAAAAGUUAAACUAUUGUUGCUGAUGGAUUGGUUUGCCAUCGUCACGUAACUGAGUUUUCUGACCAAUAGCGGAAGGUCCGUGUGACGUCAGAAGGUUAGCUGCUCAGAGCCUCGGUUACCAUGGUGACGUCCUCUGCGUGUCUGGUUUAGUGGUCAGUUUGUGUGAGUCUUUGCUCAGCUCUUCCUGUCGCACAGCUAGCUUAGCCGCACCGUUACCAUGACGACACGUCAUCUUCAAAGCGGGUUUCCGUUCAGAUGCGCGUUUCUUUCCGUUUGUUCUCCGCAGCCGAAUGAUAGUAACGGGUUUUGUUAGAGUCGUCGUGAAAAGAACGACUGAUUCGGUUCGAGCUGAAACGAGAAGAACCUCUGAGUUCCUUAAAGUGAUUCAUUUCUGCAUGAGGUUCUUCCUCCAUCGCUGCUCACCUGGAAGACUCCAGGUUGAUUCUUAUUGGUUGUUCUUCACUACAGAGCCCCGGUCCUCCCCGGUUCGGUCCGGUCCGGUCCGGCAGACAUGGAGCAGUACAGCAUCCUGGGUCGGAUCGGAGAAGGAGCUCAUGGCAUUGUCUUCCAGGCCAAACACAUCGAGACAGGAGAGACGGUGGCCCUGAAGAAGGUGGCUCUGAGGAAGCUGGAGGACGGGAUCCCGAACCAGGCAGUGAGGGAGAUCAAGGCUCUGCAGGAGAUCGAGGACAACCAGCAUGUGGUGAAGCUGAAGGAUUUCUUCCCUCAUGGAACCGGCUUUGUCCUGGUCUUUGACUUCAUGCUCUCUGACCUCUCUGAGGUCAUCAGGAACUCCCAGCGACCUCUGACCCCGGCGCAGGUGAAGGGCUACAUGAUGAUGCUGCUGAAGGGCGUGGCCUUCCUGCACCAGAACUCCAUCAUGCACCGGGACCUGAAGCCCGCCAACCUCCUCAUCAGUUCCUCGGGUCACCUGAAGGUGGCAGACUUCGGCCUGGCCCGGCUGUUCAGUGACCAGGGGGAGAGGCUCUACAGCCACCAGGUAGCCACCAGGUGGUACCGAGCCCCAGAGCUGCUGUACGGAGCCCGGAAAUACGAUGAGGGAGUUGACCUGUGGGCGGUGGGCUGUAUCUUCGGAGAGCUGCUCAACUCCUCUCCUCUGUUUCCCGGGGAAAACGACAUCGAACAGCUCUGCUGCGUCCUGCGGGUUCUGGGGACGCCGACCCGGGAGAGCUGGCCCGUAAGAACCGCACCUCACCGCUCAGCAGAACACACAGUGUCUAGAACCAGAACCAGGGUCAGAACCAGGCAGGUAUCAGGCCCGGCUCUACCUAAACCCAGAAACAGGAAGGUUCUGGUUCUGAUGGGUUCACCUCUGGUCUGCUUCCAGAACCAGAUCUAGACCUGAGGAGUUCUGGAUGGACUGACGGUUUCUGUCGGUCCAGUCAGAACGUUUGGAAUGUUGAAGGAAUCACUGGAGCAGCUUUGGGUUCUGGUGGAGUUCUGGCUCAGGUUCUGGUGGACGGUGAGCGGUUCUGGAGAUGGAAUGAUCGGAACCGCUCAUCUGACCGGAGCAGGAACUGGAACCGAGCCCUGAGGAACUUCCUCCAGACGUGUUCAGGAAAUGGUCGAGUUGCCAGAUUAUAAUAAAAUCACCUUCAAGGAGAAUCCAGCGAUCCCAUUGGAGGAGAUCGUCCCUGACACCUGUCCUCA
Molecule: RNA transcript, 2591 nt
Organism: Xiphophorus maculatus (southern platyfish)
Lineage: Eukaryota; Metazoa; Chordata; Actinopteri; Cyprinodontiformes; Poeciliidae
Gene: cdk20
Gene name: cyclin dependent kinase 20
Exons: 7
Source: RefSeq, a predicted model, not a curated record